This 73-nucleotide transfer RNA is filed under the name Pseudomonadota bacterium. RNAcentral describes it as "tRNA-Ile". It matches the Rfam family "tRNA". From Rfam's summary of the family: Transfer RNA (tRNA) molecules are approximately 80 nucleotides in length. Their secondary structure includes four short double-helical elements and three loops (D, anti-codon, and T loops). Further hydrogen bonds mediate the characteristic L-shaped molecular structure. tRNAs have two regions of fundamental functional importance: the anti-codon, which is responsible for specific mRNA codon recognition, and the 3' end, to which the tRNAs corresponding amino acid is attached (by aminoacyl-tRNA synthetases). tRNAs cope with the degeneracy of the genetic code in two manners: having more than one tRNA (with a specific anti-codon) for a particular amino acid; and 'wobble' base-pairing, i.e. permitting non-standard base-pairing at the 3rd anti-codon position. RNAcentral also lists the same sequence under 1 other name. The record is from RNAcentral. Lineage: Bacteria; Pseudomonadati; Pseudomonadota.
GGGCUUGUAGCUCAGCGGUUAGAGCAGCCGGCUCAUAACCGGUAGGUCGCAGGUUCGAAUCCUGCCGGGCCCA